GCGACGGACCCACCUGAACCCAUGCCGAACUCAGAAGUGAAACGUUGUAGCGCCGAUGGUAGUGUGGGGUCUCCCCAUGCGAGAGUAGGACACUGCCAGGC
RNAcentral lists this ribosomal RNA (101 nucleotides) under Yersinia ruckeri. The record is from RNAcentral. Lineage: Bacteria; Pseudomonadati; Pseudomonadota; Gammaproteobacteria; Enterobacterales; Yersiniaceae.